UACAGAGGGGGCAGGCGUUGUUCGGAAUUACUGGGCGUAAAGGGCGCGUAGGCGGCCUUCUAAGUCGAACGUGAAAUCCCCGGGCUCAACCCGGGAACUGCGUCCGAUACUGGAAGGCUUGAAUUCGGGAGAGGGAUGCGGAAUUCCAGGUGUAGCGGUGAAAUGCGUAGAUAUCUGGAGGAACACCGGUGGCGAAGGCGGCAUCCUGGACCGGCAUUGACGCUGAGGCGCGAAAGCCAGGGGAGCAAACGGG
RNAcentral lists this ribosomal RNA (253 nucleotides) under uncultured bacterium. RNAcentral's name for it is "partial 16S ribosomal RNA". It matches the Rfam family "Bacterial small subunit ribosomal RNA", at positions 524 to 776 of the family's 1533-position model. The record is from RNAcentral.